AGCUUUGCACAGUGGCAGUAUUGUAAUCAAUGAGGUUGAUCCGAGGCACAAUUAUUGCUAAUUGAAACCUUAAAUCCUGCCUUCAGUGACACCUCCUCCAAUUAGGCCACACCUCCUAAAACGGUCUACCAAC
RNAcentral lists this small nuclear RNA (133 nucleotides) under Mus pahari (shrew mouse). Its description in RNAcentral is "snRNA (MGP_PahariEiJ_G0033695.1)". The stretch from base 1 to 79 matches the Rfam family "U4 spliceosomal RNA". Rfam says of the family: U4 small nuclear RNA (U4 snRNA) is a component of the major U2-dependent spliceosome. The structure of U4 snRNA from yeast and human has been reported. The record is from RNAcentral. Lineage: Eukaryota; Metazoa; Chordata; Mammalia; Rodentia; Muridae.